AUUGAACGCUGGCGGCAUGCUUUACACAUGCAAGUCGAACGGUAACAGGCCUUCGGGCGCUGACGAGUGGCGAACGGGUGAGUAAUGCAUCGGAACGUGCCCAGAGGUGGGGGAUAGCCCGGCGAAAGCCGGAUUAAUACCGCAUGAGACCUGAGGGUGAAAGCGGGGGAUCGCAAGACCUCGCGCUAUUGGAGCGGCCGAUAUCAGAUUAGGUAGUUGGUGGGGUAAAGGCCCACCAAGGCGACGAUCUGUAGCUGGUCUGAGAGGACGACCAGCCACACUGGGACUGAGACACGGCCCAGACUCCUACGGGAGGCAGCAGUGGGGAAUUUUGGACAAUGGGCGCAAGCCUGAUCCAGCAAUGCCGCGUGCAGGAAGAAGGCCUUCGGGUUGUAAACUGCUUUUGUACGGAACGAAACGGUCUGGGUUAAUACCCUGGGCUAAUGACGGUACCGUAAGAAUAAGCACCGGCUAACUACGUG
This 482-nucleotide ribosomal RNA is filed under the name uncultured bacterium. Its description in RNAcentral is "bacterial SSU rRNA". It matches the Rfam family "Bacterial small subunit ribosomal RNA", at positions 29 to 507 of the family's 1533-position model. The record is from RNAcentral.